CCUACGGGAGGCAGCAGUAGGGAAUCUUCCACAAUGGGCGAAAGCCUGAUGGAGCAACGCCGCGUGGGUGAAGAAGGUCUUCGGAUCGUAAAACCCUGUUGUUAGAGAAGAAAGUGCGUGAGAGUAACUGUUCACGUUUCGACGGUAUCUAACCAGAAAGCCACGGCUAACUACGUGCCAGCAGCCGCGGUAAUACGUAGGUGGCAAGCGUUAUCCGGAUUUAUGGGGGGUAAAGGGAACGCAGGCGGUCUUUUAAGUCUGAUGUGAAAGCCUUCGGCUUAACCGGAGUAGUGCAUUGGAAACUGGGAGACUUGAGGGCAGAAGAGGAGAGUGGAACUCCAGGGGUAGCGGUGAAAUGCGUAGAUAUAUGGAAGAACACCAGUGGCGAAGGCGGCUCUCUGGUCUGUAACUGACGCUGAGGUUCGAAAGCGUGGGUAGCAAACAGGAUUAGAUACCCCAGUAGUC
This 465-nucleotide ribosomal RNA is filed under the name uncultured bacterium. RNAcentral describes it as "partial 16S ribosomal RNA". It matches the Rfam family "Bacterial small subunit ribosomal RNA", at positions 338 to 795 of the family's 1533-position model. The record is from RNAcentral.